AGGUUCUACAUGUUGUGAUUUGUGAGCCCCUGCUUGAUUCUCCAUCAGUGCUUUCUAGAACAAGGAAGAACACACCUGCCAUACACUUGGCCGUGCCUUGAUACCAGCCUUGCAGACCACCUAGACCAUCAUCCUGGUUAUUCUUCUGCAAAAUACUACUGAAAAAGCAGUUACACGUGAGAGUUUGAACUUUCCUAUAAAAAAAUGUAUGUGUAAGCUCUG
This is a non-coding RNA of Ictidomys tridecemlineatus (thirteen-lined ground squirrel), 222 nucleotides long. The record is from RefSeq and is a predicted model, not a curated record. NCBI's taxonomy places the organism in Eukaryota, Metazoa, Chordata, Mammalia, Rodentia, Sciuridae.